Xyrichtys novacula (pearly razorfish) is the source of this 1956-nucleotide non-coding RNA. NCBI's taxonomy places the organism in Eukaryota, Metazoa, Chordata, Actinopteri, Labriformes, Labridae. The record is from the annotation of a GenBank genome assembly.
GGGUCUUUAUUGUCUAAAACAACUGAACAAACUUGUUUAUUGAUAUAUCAUUGGUUGUUAUAACAGUUUUCAAACUUUUUGUGUUGCUUUAUUAAGAAUAAAACUAAUUUUAUCUGGAAAGUACAAGUAAUCAAAGCUCCUGUGAGGACUUUUUUUGAUGGUUAUAAAACUGACAAAAUUUCAUAUUGAUGCUUUUUCAUGACAUCCCAAAGCAAACAAGACCCUCAGGGGUCUGAUUUUUUUUUUUGUGGGUAAUUUUUAAUACCUAAAACCAGUGUGAGGAGGUAGGUGUCAGAAUAACAGCUGCGAUUGCUACAAUUUCCACAAAAAACUACAUGAUAAGUUUUAAAUGUGACUGUCAACAAUGAGCAAGAUGAGGGUUUUUGUAAAACCUUCUCAAGCAUGUUGAGAAGUUGCCGCCACCAAAGUUCACACAAUUUUAAAGUUCCUCACAGGAGCUGUAACCUUCCUCCUGUGUUAGCUUGUACUACGCACUAGAGGAUGACAUUUUCGGGAACUCCCAUGGGUCACGUGAUUCCCGCGGGAAUCCCACGGGAUGGGAGUCAUUUUUUAAUUAAUCCCGUGAUCAGGACAGGACGGGAAAAAAGCAACGGGAGCAGGCAGGAGCGGGAACAACAUUAAUAGAUGAUCAUUUUCUUUCCUUGUUAGGCUUCAUUAUCCAUUUAAAUAUCGCUUAUAAUAUUUUUUUGUUGUGGGCCUCUUGCCCUUUAUUUGUCAGUAUACCCCUCACACAGACAUCUAUACUGAACUGAUUUCACAUGUCUGGACAUGCCUGAGGUUGUUUUUUGUGCAGGGUAAAACAUGGCAAAAUGAGAAUUUCCUAAAUCUCACAUGUUUGGAAGAGGAUCUGACUGACAGUGUGGUGCCUGACAUUACACUUAUGAUUUCAGUUUUUGCUCUGAUUAUUAGAUACUGAUCUAACCGGGUCAACAGCGACCCUAACACGACAAGUGCCAUAAUUUUAAUGAGUAUUUUAUAAUUUAGUCAAUUUAAUUUUUUUCAUUUUUGUUUAGUUGAAAUAGAGGUUCCUGACAAAGUCAAAAGUCUUGAUUUAAAAAAAAAACUUAUUUAAGUGGUUCUUUUAAGCAUUUAAAACCAACGGGUCGGUGCAGACCCUAACACAGGAGGAGAGAUAAAAUAUUUAUUUAUCUAUUUAUUAUUUUCUGGACCUAACAGAUCUGAAGUGAUAAAGCAUUUACUGAGGUCAGUCAGUCUGUUAUUAUGUCUCAUUAUCAGGAUACACACACUCAUGAUGUACCGCAAUAGUCCCAUCAACACAUGAUAGGCAGUAAUUUCCUCAUCCAUCAAGAACGGUAUUUUUCUAAUAAAGCAAUAAUAAUCCGUUUGUUUUCACCCUAACUGAAGCCUCUACUAUCUGUUUGUCACACAAACCCACACAGUGUAUGUGUGAGAGAGGUCACCCUUGUGUAGGAGUGGGGGUAACCGCCUUAGCAGGAGAUAAGGGUGUCACUCAGCCUGAUAAGAUGACGGAUCAAUACGGCGGAUACAUGACUGUCACAGCUUAGCAAGGUCAUUGAGUCCUUCAGCCAAGACGCACACUUUCUAAGCGCUGCAGGAUCCAACUGCUUUUCUCUGAUUGGCACUGCGGGAGGGACCGGACUUGAUGCUGUGCUUAUCUGCUGUUUUGACAAAGAAUAGGUGGGAGUGACAAUAAAUAAUCCGGCAAAAACAGGAAAUUAUUACAGAGCUAACAGAGAUAAAUACACGAUUAUCCUGAAAAAGACACAAAGGCAUAAAGACACAGUUUAUCUCACACCAAGACGCUUCUCUGCAGGGUCCACAGUGUGAAAGCUGAUUUAGGACAAUCCAGGAUGACACAUUAUUUUUCAUUCUGCAGAAACAGGAUGCAGUCCAGAGUACAACGCACCCAGAGACAGCUAAAUGUGAGCAAUAAACUGCAGGAACAGCAGAUUU